GAGAAAAAGAAAAACACAGUGAACUCACAACUUUCUGGUAUAAAACGAACGAAGCCUCUCGGAACUAAACCAUACGCUCCAAGUUCCCUGUUCAAGUAACACAGACUCACGAGAACUAUAACUAAAAUUUUCAAAAUGUUCAAGUUUGUGGUGUUUUUUGCUCUUCUCGCCAUUGCUGCCGCCGGACACUUAGGUUUGGGCUCUGAAUUGGUUUACUCUGCUGGUUUGCCAUCAAGCGGAUACGAAUAUACUCACACCAUUCAGGCCCCAGACUAUACCAACCAUGUUUCUGUCAGUGCUCCAUUGAACGGAAUUGCCAGGGCACAUCUUUCACCUUUGGUCCAGACCCUUUACCAUGCUCCUCUUGGUUACCAAGCUUGGUAAGUAACACAAUGAAUGAAGACUGACCGGAUGGCUAGAGAUUGGACUGAGAAUUGUUUAUUCAGGGAUACUUUGUGUGUUGUGAUAAAAUAAUAAAAUGAAUGAUAAUGAAAAAAACCUUUA
Eupeodes corollae is the source of this 504-nucleotide long non-coding RNA. RefSeq lists it as uncharacterized. The record is from RefSeq and is a predicted model, not a curated record. NCBI's taxonomy places the organism in Eukaryota, Metazoa, Arthropoda, Insecta, Diptera, Syrphidae. The transcript has 3 exons.